GACAGAGGGUGCAAACGUUGUUCGGAAUUACUGGGCGUAAAGCGCGUGUAGGCGGCUCGGAAAGUCGGAUGUGAAAGCCCUGGGCUUAACCUAGGAAGUGCAUUCGAAACUCCCGAGCUUGAGUUCUGGAGAGGAAGGCGGAAUUCUCGGUGUAGAGGUGAAAUUCGUAGAUAUCGAGAGGAACACCGGUGGCGAAGGCGGCCUUCUG
This 208-nucleotide ribosomal RNA is filed under the name uncultured bacterium. Its description in RNAcentral is "partial 16S ribosomal RNA". It matches the Rfam family "Bacterial small subunit ribosomal RNA", at positions 524 to 731 of the family's 1533-position model. The record is from RNAcentral.